UACGAGGGGGGCAAGUGUUGUUCGGAAUCACUGGGCGUAAAGGGAGCGUAGGCGGGCUCUUAAGUUGGAUGUUUAAAACCGGGGCCCAACCCCGGCGUGGCAUCCAAAACUGGGAGUCUUGAAUGGAACAGAGGCUAGUGGAAUUGGAGGUGUAGCGGUGGAAUGCGUAGAGAUCUCCAAGAACACCCGUUGCGAAGGCGGCUAGCUGGGUUCACAUUGACGCUGAGGUGCGAAAGCGUGGGGAGCAAACAGG
RNAcentral lists this ribosomal RNA (253 nucleotides) under uncultured bacterium. RNAcentral describes it as "partial 16S ribosomal RNA". It matches the Rfam family "Bacterial small subunit ribosomal RNA", at positions 524 to 776 of the family's 1533-position model. The record is from RNAcentral.